This 585-nucleotide ribosomal RNA is filed under the name uncultured bacterium. RNAcentral describes it as "partial 16S ribosomal RNA". It matches the Rfam family "Bacterial small subunit ribosomal RNA", at positions 355 to 933 of the family's 1533-position model. The record is from RNAcentral.
UGGGGAAUUUUGGACAAUGGGCGAAAGCCUGAUCCAGCAAUGCCGCGUGUGUGAAGAAGGCCUUCGGGUUGUAAAGCACUUUUGUCCGGAAAGAAAUCCUUGGCUCUAAUACAGUCGGGGGAUGACGGUACCGGAAGAAUAAGCACCGGCUAACUACGUGCCAGCAGCCGCGGUAAUACGUAGGGUGCAAGCGUUAAUCGGAAUUACUGGGCGUAAAGCGUGCGCAGGCGGUCCGCUAAGACAGAUGUGAAAUCCCCGGGCUUAACCUGGGAACUGCAUUUGUGACUGGCGGGCUAGAGUAUGGCAGAGGGGGGUAGAAUUCCACGUGUAGCAGUGAAAUGCGUAGAGAUGUGGAGGAAUACCGAUGGCGAAGGCAGCCCCCUGGGCCAAUACUGACGCUCAUGCACGAAAGCGUGGGGAGCAAACAGGAUUAGAUACCCUGGUAGUCCACGCCCUAAACGAUGUCAACUAGUUGUCGGGUCUUCAUUGACUUGGUAACGUAGCUAACGCGUGAAGUUGACCGCCUGGGGAGUACGGUCGCAAGAUUAAAACUNAAAUGAAUUGACGGGGUCUAGCUGUUUCCUG